RNAcentral lists this ribosomal RNA (367 nucleotides) under uncultured fungus. RNAcentral describes it as "eukaryotic LSU rRNA". It matches the Rfam family "Eukaryotic large subunit ribosomal RNA", at positions 40 to 398 of the family's 3401-position model. The record is from RNAcentral. Lineage: Eukaryota; Fungi.
AUAUCAAUAAGCGGAGGAAAAGAAACUAACAAGGAUUCCCCUAGUAACUGCGAGUGAAGAGGGAAAAGCUCAAAUUUAAAAUCUGUCUGCCUUGCUGCAGUCCGAGUUGUAGUUUAGAGAAGUGCUAUCCGCGUUGGCUUGUGCAAAAGUUUCUUGGAAAAGAACAUCAUAGAGGGUGACAAUCCCGUCUUUGGCACAGAUCACCAGGGCUUUUGUGAUACGCUCUCGACGAGUCGCGUUGUUUGGGAAUGCAGCGCUAAAUGGGUGGUAAAUUCCAUCUAAAGCUAAAUAUUGGCGAGAAACCGAUAGCGAACAAGUACCGUGAGGGAAAGAUGAAAAGGACUUUGAAAAGAGAGUUAAACAGUAC